This 794-nucleotide ribosomal RNA is filed under the name Clostridioides difficile. Its description in RNAcentral is "bacterial LSU rRNA". It matches the Rfam family "Bacterial large subunit ribosomal RNA", at positions 1219 to 2023 of the family's 2925-position model. Lineage: Bacteria; Bacillati; Bacillota; Clostridia; Peptostreptococcales; Peptostreptococcaceae. The record is from RNAcentral.
UAAUGAUGGGUAGGGGAGCUUCCCAUACGGGUUGAAGCAUGACCGUAAGGACAUGUGGACAGUAUGGGAGUGAGAAUGUUGGCAUGAGUAGCGAGAUGUGGGUGAGAAUCCCACAGGCCGUAAACCCAAGGUUUCCAGGGGAAGGUUCGUCCGCCCUGGGUUAGUCGGGACCUAAGCUGAGGCCGAAAGGCGUAGGUGAUGGACAACAGGUUGAUAUUCCUGUACUACCGAUAACCGUUUGAGAGAAGGGAUGACACAGUAGGAUAAGCUAAGCACACUGUUGGUUAUGUGUGCCCAAGCAUUGAGGCAGUCAAAGUAGGCAAAUCCGCUUUGAUAAUGCUGGGGUGUGAUGGGGAGCGAAAUUUAGUAGCGAAGUAGCUGAUUUCACACUGUCAAGAAAAGUCUCUAUCGAGGUUAAAGGUACCCGUACCGCAAACCGACACAGGUGGGUGAGGAGAGUAUCCUAAGGCCAGCGAGAGAACUGUUGUUAAGGAACUCGGCAAAAUGACCCCGUAACUUAGGGAUAAGGGGUGCCACCAUCAGGUGGCCGCAGAGAAUAGGCCCAAGCGACUGUUUACCAAAAACAUAGGUUUCUGCUAAGUCGCAAGACGAUGUAUAGGAGCUGACGCCUGCCCGGUGCUGGAAGGUUAAGGGGAUCUGUUAGAGCAAUCGAAGCAGUGAACUUAAGCCCCAGUAAACGGCGGCCGUAACUAUAACGGUCCUAAGGUAGCGAAAUUCCUUGUCGGGUAAGUUCCGACCCGCACGAAAGGCGUAACGAUUUGGGCACUGUCUCA